This 375-nucleotide ribosomal RNA is filed under the name uncultured eukaryote. RNAcentral describes it as "partial 18S ribosomal RNA". It matches the Rfam family "Eukaryotic small subunit ribosomal RNA", at positions 592 to 976 of the family's 1831-position model. The record is from RNAcentral.
CAAUAGCGUAUAUUUAAGUUGUUGCAGUUAAAAAGCUCGUAGUUGGAUUUCGGUUAAGAGCGACCGGUCCGCCGUUUGGUGUGCACUGGUUGGUUUUAACUUCCUGUAGAGGACGUGCUCUGGGUUUAACGACCUGGACUCGGAGUCUACGUGGUUACUUUGAAAAAAUUAGAGUGUUCAAAGCGGGCUUACGCUUGAAUAUUUCAGCAUGGAAUAACACUAUAGGACUCCUGUCCUAUUUCGUUGGUCUCGGGACGGGAGUAAUGAUUAAGAGGAACAGUUGGGGGCAUUCGUAUUUCAUUGUCAGAGGUGAAAUUCUUGGAUUUAUGAAAGACGAACUUCUGCGAAAGCAUUUGCCAAGGAUGUUUUCAUUAG